Molecule: unclassified non-coding RNA, 232 nt
Filed under: plant metagenome
Description: partial contains small subunit ribosomal RNA, internal transcribed spacer 1, and 5.8S ribosomal RNA
Source: RNAcentral
UCUCCGUUGGUGAACCAGCGGAGGGAUCAUUACCGAGUUCCAGCAACUCCCAACCCUUGCGGACCGUACCCCAGUCUGUUCUCGUUGCUUCCGGCAGGCGGGGGGGGCCACCUGGCCCCUCCCCCUGCCGGGGGCGGCGGGCCCUACGAACCUUUAUAUCUCAACCACCAGAAACCGUCUGAGAAAACAAACAAAAUAACCAAAACUUUCAACAACGGAUCUCUUGGCUCUG